GUCUGCAUGGCUCAGCUGGUUAGAGCGCCGGUCUCAUACGUAUCUUGUAUGAAUGCUUCCACUGCAUACAAUCCGGAGAUCGUGAGUUCGAUCCUCACUGCGGACA
This is a transfer RNA of Fistulina hepatica ATCC 64428, 106 nucleotides long. It matches the Rfam family "tRNA". From Rfam's summary of the family: Transfer RNA (tRNA) molecules are approximately 80 nucleotides in length. Their secondary structure includes four short double-helical elements and three loops (D, anti-codon, and T loops). The record is from Rfam. Lineage: Eukaryota; Fungi; Basidiomycota; Agaricomycetes; Agaricales; Fistulinaceae.